GUUUCGGUGUUGCAUGCACAGGAUAGAUGGGACACUGGGAAGGCAGUGCUUUGGCAUUGCUGGAGUGGACGUUGGGAUACCAUCCUUGCGACAUUGGAAUUCUAACCUGCGCCUCUGAAUCGAGGCGGGGGACAUUGUCAGGUGGGCAGUUUGACUGGGGCGGUCGCCUCCUAAAAAGUAGCGGAGGCGUUCAAAGGUUCGUUCGAUCUGGACGGAAACCAGAUGAUUGAGUGCAAACGCAUAAACGAGCCUGACUGCGAGACUGACGGGUCGAGCAGAGACGAAAGUCGGAGUUAGUGAUCCGGUGGUAUGUGAGUGGAAAUGCCAUCGCUCAACGGAUAAAAGUUACCCUGGGGAUAACAGGCUGAUCUCCCCCAAGAGUCCACAUCGACGGGGAGGUUUGGCACCUCGAUGUCGGCUCAUCGCAUCCUGGGGCUGAAUUCGGUCCCAAGGGUUUGGCUGUUCGCCAAUUAAAGCGGUACGCGAGCUGGGUUCAGAACGUCGUGAGACAGUUCGGUCCCUAUCUGUCGUGGGCGCAGGAUAUUUGAAAGGCGCUGUCCCUAGUACGAGAGGACCGGGAUGGACGAACCUCUGGUGCACCAGUUGUCACGCCAGUGGCACAGCUGGGCAGCUAUGUUCGGAUCGGAUAAACGCUGAAAGCAUCUAAGCGUGAAGCCGGCCUUAAGAUAAGAUAUCCCACUGAGUCAAUCAGGUAAGACCCCUUGAAGACUACAAGGUUGAUAGGCACACAGUGUAAGCGGAGUGAUCCGUUCAGCUAGCGUGUACUAAUAGGUCGAGGGCUUGACCC
RNAcentral lists this ribosomal RNA (808 nucleotides) under metagenome. Its description in RNAcentral is "bacterial LSU rRNA". It matches the Rfam family "Bacterial large subunit ribosomal RNA", at positions 2121 to 2925 of the family's 2925-position model. The record is from RNAcentral.